GCUGUGUGCAUCAGUCGACGCACGUGCGCCGUUCCUUCUUAAAGACUGUUUUUUGUUCAUUUUCGGCCUAUAUCAUAAGGUUAGUGGUAGUUUGGUGGAAUCAUCUUUUUCUUUUUCUAUUUUGGGUAGACUAUAUUCAGCUUUGCUGUCUAGUUUUGCCUGACGUUAAAAACAUAUGACCGUGUGCAUCUGUAUCCGUGUGCAUCAGUGGAUACAGAUGCCUAGAGCUAUCCAAACAGAAAUUUCGAAAAAGAAAAACAUGGGCAGGCUCGCGGGCGGUGGCAACGAGAAGGCCAAACCCAAACAGAAAUUUGUACGGCCAGGUACGGAAGCAAAAGGCCCACGGAGCAAAACAGCCCAGCUAAGAGGUAGCAAAACUGAAAAAAAUGCCGUCUGCACGUACUGGUGGAAACAGCGGCAACAAACACUGACUGGGCCAGACCAUGGGGUAACAGACGCCGCAUGAGCUGGAGCGCAGAGAGAGUGUUAAAAAAAAAAUUGUGUCCAGGUUUCCAGGCAGAGCAAGAGUGAAAGCCGCAGACAGGCCGUCCGCAACAAGUAG
Molecule: long non-coding RNA, 562 nt
Filed under: Brachypodium distachyon (stiff brome)
Lineage: Eukaryota; Viridiplantae; Streptophyta; Magnoliopsida; Poales; Poaceae
Description: long non-coding RNA (BDIS_LNC004596)
Source: RNAcentral